Long non-coding RNA from Oncorhynchus mykiss (rainbow trout), 1172 nucleotides. The record is from Ensembl. NCBI's taxonomy places the organism in Eukaryota, Metazoa, Chordata, Actinopteri, Salmoniformes, Salmonidae.
UAAUAUUUUAUUCACAAUGAGCCAUUCAAUGGAAUCUGCAAUUCAGAUUGAAAAGUGGACGAAGGAAGAAGUUCAUCAGUGGUUGACGACGCAGGUUAACAUUCACCAUAUAUAUGCAGACAAGUUGCUAGAAGAGGAGGUAUCAGGGGAAGACCUAGAAUACUUCCAAAAGAAGGAUCUUCUGGAUCUGAACAUAAAACAUGGUCCGGCUGUGAAAAUUGUGUCAAUGCUUGAGGAUUUGAAGAGUGGAUUACAGCAUAAAUCACAAUUUCCUGCAUACGUCAAGAAAUGGACACCAGAACAAGUUUGUCAGUGGUUAAGGGAAGAGGCGAAGGUAUACCACCAAUAUGUAGACCGUAUUUUGGAAGAGGAAGUGUCAGGCGAUUGCCUGUUUUGCUUCAAAAAGAAUGAUCUUGUGGAACUAGGCAUUAAACAUGGUCCUGCUGUUAAAAUAAUUGGCAUGCUAGAAAAGUUAAACAAUGGACCAGAGCCUAUAUUACAACCCCCCACACACAUCAACGGUGACCAAGAAAAUCUACAGAAAACACCUGAGAAGCAAGUAGAACUAUGUCAAGUUCUACCAGUUCAGACUGUAUCCCCCAUGAAGACAGAACCAAACACGGAAGAGCUCAAAAUAGUGGAAACAUCAGGGAAAACGGUUACACGAAAGAAGGAAGAACCAAAACCACAGGCCAUGGUUGCAGAAAAGUUACCGUCCAAGAUCUCAAGCACGCCAAGUUCCCUUACCUUGCUCCAGAAUACCCUUGAUGACUUACAUCAGGACGAGUUUAAACGCUUUAAGUCUUCUCUGAAAGACCUAAAACUGAAUGGAUAUAGACCGAUUGCACGGAGUCACUUGGAAGACAGCAAGACCCGCACAGAAGUAGCGGACUCGAUGACAAAGCACUAUGAGGAAGAGACAUUGAAUGUCACUCUUCAGAUUCUAGGGAGAAUCGAACACAAUGAACUGGCUGCCCGUCUGAAAAGGGAUAUGGGUAAGUGAAACAAUAUUCAAAUGAGUCUUUGAAUCUCAAUCACAGCCAAUUAACAUUGGACCUGUAUUAAUACAAUAUAACUGUUUUUAGGUUAAAAAGUAAUAAUUGUCAAUUUGUCACAAACAAGACCAUCAGUAAUAUUUGUUAGGAUCACCAGUAAUUGAUUUAGUUUUGUAA